AACGAACGCUGGCGGCAUGCCUAACACAUGCCAGUCGAACGAGACCUUCGGGUCUAGUGGCGCACGGGUGCGUAACGCGUGGGAACCUGCCCUUAGGUUCGGAAUAACUCCCCGAAAGGGGUGCUAAUACCGGAUAAUGUCUUCGGACCAAAGCUUUAGCGCCUUUGGUUGGGCCCGCGUUGGAUUAGCUAGUUGGUAGGGUAAAAGCCUACCAAGGCGACGAUCCAUAGCUGGUCUGAGAGGAUGAUCAGCCACACUGGGACUGAGACACGGCCCAGACUGCUACGGGAGGCAGCAGUGGGGAAUAUUGGACAAUGGGCGAAAGCCUGAUCCAGCAAUGCCGCGUGAGUGAUGAAGGCCUUAGGGUUGUAAAGCUCUUUUACCCGGGAUGAUAAUGACAGUACCGGGAGAAUAGGCGCCGGCUAACUCCGUG
This 433-nucleotide ribosomal RNA is filed under the name uncultured bacterium. Its description in RNAcentral is "partial 16S ribosomal RNA". It matches the Rfam family "Bacterial small subunit ribosomal RNA", at positions 29 to 507 of the family's 1533-position model. The record is from RNAcentral.